This 391-nucleotide unclassified non-coding RNA is filed under the name soil metagenome. RNAcentral describes it as "partial contains 5.8S ribosomal RNA, internal transcribed spacer 2, and large subunit ribosomal RNA". The stretch from base 1 to 122 matches the Rfam family "5.8S ribosomal RNA", at positions 35 to 154 of the family's 154-position model. The record is from RNAcentral.
GAUGAAGAACGUAGCGAAAUGAGAUACUUGGUGUGAAUUGCAGAAUCCCGUGAACCAUCGAGUCUUUGAACGCAAGUUGCGCCCGAAGCCACUAGGCCGAGGGCACGCCUGCCUGGGCGUCACACGUCGUUGCCACCCCAUCUACUCCUUCGGGAUUGCGGGGGGGCGGAUGAUGGCCUCCCGUGCGCCUAGCCGCGCGGUUGGCAUAAAUACCAAGUCCUCGGCGACGCACGCCACGACAAUCGGUGGUUGCGAAACCUCGGUUGCCCGUCGUGUGCGUUCGUCGCGCAUCGAGGGCUCGAAAAAAUGCUCGGCUUCGGCUCGGCUUUCAACGCGACCCCAGGUCAGGAGGGGUUACCCGCUGAAUUUAAGCAUAUCAAUAAGCGGAGGA